GUCAAUAUGUCCGAGUGGUUAAGGAGAUUGACUCGAAAUCAAUUGGGCUUUGCCCGCGCAGGUUCGAAUCCUGCUGUUGACG
Molecule: transfer RNA, 82 nt
Organism: Capsella rubella
Lineage: Eukaryota; Viridiplantae; Streptophyta; Magnoliopsida; Brassicales; Brassicaceae
Rfam family: tRNA
About the family: Transfer RNA (tRNA) molecules are approximately 80 nucleotides in length. Their secondary structure includes four short double-helical elements and three loops (D, anti-codon, and T loops).
Source: Rfam